Molecule: long non-coding RNA, 1093 nt
Organism: Lycium barbarum (goji berry)
Lineage: Eukaryota; Viridiplantae; Streptophyta; Magnoliopsida; Solanales; Solanaceae
Exons: 5
Source: RefSeq, a predicted model, not a curated record
UUUAUUGUUUGGUUUUCAAUUUAGUGUUAUGGGUGUUUUUUUUAGUCCAUUUUUUUUGUGUGAAUCUGCACUUUUUCUUUAUUGGGUGUGUUUUGUUUCUUGUAAUCAAUUCAAUUUGUUUUAUUUGGGUAUGUUCUGUUCUAUUGUUUUCAUCGACGUGUUCAAGGUAGUUUUUUUGAUUUGGUUUUCGAUGAGAGUAUGGUUGAUUUUAAUCAGUAGGCUAUAGUAUAUGUUCCAGAUUUGUAUAUGGUUUUAUUGGUUUCAUUUUAUAUAUUGUUUGAGCCAAAGUUUGAGUCUUUUGGUAUGGUAUGAGAAGUUUUUAGGUGGGUAUUUUACUGAAUUUGAUCCAUAGGUGGAAGGUCCAAGCAUAAGGAAGUUACUACUUUUUGUUUCAUAUUUUGGGGGUGGGGUAAGUAUUGUAUACUGUUAGUAGAAUUAUUUUUUGCUGCAGAUCUGAUGAUCUAUUAAUUUCUUUUGUUUGGAAUGCAACUGUACCUCUAUGGUACAGUUGUAAUGAAUACUAUAGUUGAGAAUGGAAAAACAAAAGCCUCUGUGAAGAACAUACAAGCGAAUUUCUUGAGAACCCAAACUCCUCUUCCUCAAUCAACUGUUGAGCAACUACUCUUCCAUGGAUGGAAUCCUCUAUUGCAAGACUCAUUUCGAAUAGCUUUUUAAGGAAUCUGGAAAUUUUAGCAAGAAUUUUCAGAAUCCAGCUAAGUCUGAGAGGCAAAAUUCACUGACAAGGGCUCCAAGCAAACUCUCUGCUAUGUUCUCUGGAACCCAAGAUAAAUGUGCUGCUUGCGACAAAGCUGUUUACCCACUUGAAAAGCCAAGUGAUGCGGCUAGUGGAUCCCUUUCGCCCAUGGAUGCAAGAAGAUCAUGCGGUGAUAGUAAUCCUAGUGACAACCGUUGAUUUCAUUGUAUUGUUUGGUAGGAACGGAUGUUAGAACGCUGGAGUGAAUGUAUUGUGUUUAAAUUUAGUUUUUGAGUGAUCUGAUAAUGCUACUUAAAUUUUUAGUUUAAAAAACUGAUGGUACUUUAUGAUAACAUUUGUGAUUUUACGAUAUGUUAUUGAUAUCUCUUAAAGUUUUAA